AGUACACGAGCAACGGAAGUUAAAAAAUCGGGCAAGAUUGAACGCAAAGGCAAGCGGGACAUUUGAGGAUGGGGUGACUGCGUACCUUUUGUAUAAUGGGUCAGCGACUUAUAUUCUGUAGCAAGGUUAACCGUAUAGGGGAGCCGUAGGGAAACCGAGUCUUAACUGGGCGAAUGAGUUGCAGGGUAUAGACCCGAAACCCGGUGAUCUAUCCAUGGGCAGGUUGAAGGUUGGGUAACACUAACUGGAGGACCGAACCGACUAAUGUUGAAAAAUUAGCGGAUGACUUGUGGAUGGGGGUGAAAGGCCAAUCAAACCGGGAGAUAGCUGGUUCUCCCCGAAAGCUAUUUAGGUAGCGCCUCGUGAACUCAUCUUCGGGGGUAGAGCACUGUUUCGACUAGGGGGUCAUCCCGACUUACCAACUCGAUGCAAACUGCGAAUACCGAAGAAUGUUAUCACGGGAGACACACGGCGGGUGCUAACGUCCGUCGUGAAGAGGGAAACAACCCAGACCGCCAGCUAAGGUCCCAAAGUCAUGGUUAAGUGGGAAACGAAGUGGGAAGGCUCAGACAGCCAGGAUGUUGGCUUAGAAGCAGCCAUCAUUUAAAGAAAGCGUAAUAGCUCACUGGUCGAGUCGGCCCGCGCGGAAGAUGUAACGGGGCUAAACCAUGCACCGAAGCUGCGGCAGCGACACAAAGUGUUGUUGGGUAGGGGAGCGUUCUGUAAGCCUGCGAAGGUAUACUGUGAGGUAUGCUGGAGGUAUCAGAAGUGCGAAUGCUGACAUAAGUAACGAUAAUGCGGGUGAAAAACCCGCACGCCGGAAGACCAAGGGUUCCUGUCCAACGUUAAUCGGGGCAGGGUGAGUCGACCCCUAAGGCGAGGCUGAAAAGCGUAGUCGAUGGGAAACGGGUUAAUAUUCCCGUACUGGUGGUAACUGCGAUGGGGGAACGGAGAAGGCUAGGUUGUCCGGGCGACGGUCGUCCCGGUUCAAGCAGGUAGGCAGAGUGAUUAGGCAAAUCCGGUCACUUAAUGCUGAGAUGUGAUGACGAACCACCAAGGUGGUGAAGCAAUUGAUGCCCCGCUUCCAGGAAAAGCCUCUAAGCUUCAGGUUACCAACAAUCGUACCCCAAACCGACACAGGUGGUCAGGUAGAGAAUACUCAGGCGCUUGAGAGAACUCGGGUGAAGGAACUAGGCAAAAUGGUGCCGUAACUUCGGGAGAAGGCACGCUGGCGGUAGGUAAAGUCCCUUGCGGACGGCGCUGAAGCCAGUCGAAGAUACCAGCUGGCUGCAACUGUUUAUUAAAAACACAGCACUGUGCAAACACGAAAGUGGACGUAUACGGUGUGACGCCUGCCCGGUGCUGGAAGGUUAAUUGAUGGGGUCAGCCGUAAGGCGAAGCUCCUGAUCGAAGCCCCAGUAAACGGCGGCCGUAACUAUAACGGUCCUAAGGUAGCGAAAUUCCUUGUCGGGUAAGUUCCGACCUGCACGAAUGGCGUAAUGAUGGCCAGGCUGUCUCCACCCGAGACUCAGUGAAAUUGAACUCGCUGUGAAGAUGCAGUGUACCCGCGGCAAGACGGAAAGACCCCGUGAACCUUUACUAUAGCUUGACACUGAACAUUGAGCCUUGAUGUGUAGGAUAGGUGGGAGGCUUUGAAGUGUGGACGCCAGUCUGCAUGGAGCCAACCUUGAAAUACCACCCUUUAACGUUUGAUGUUCUAACCUAGGCCCAUAAACUGGGUCGGGGACCGUGUCUGGUGGGUAGUUUGACUGGGGCGGUCUCCUCCUAAAGAGUAACGGAGGAGCACGAAGGUUGGCUAAGCAUGGUCGGACAUCAUGCGGUUAGUGCAAAGGCAUAAGCCAGCUUGACUGCGAGAGUGACGGCUCGAGCAGGUACGAAAGUAGGUCUUAGUGAUCCGGUGGUUCUGAAUGGAAGGGCCAUCGCUCAACGGAUAAAAGGUACUCCGGGGAUAACAGGCUGAUACCGCCCAAGAGUUCAUAUCGACGGCGGUGUUUGGCACCUCGAUGUCGGCUCAUCACAUCCUGGGGCUGAAGUAGGUCCCAAGGGUAUGGCUGUUCGCCAUUUAAAGUGGUACGCGAGCUGGGUUUAGAACGUCGUGAGACAGUUCGGUCCCUAUCUGCCGUGGGCGUUGGAAGAUUGAGAGGGGUUGCUCCUAGUACGAGAGGACCGGAGUGAACGCACCACUGGUGUUCGGGUUGUCAUGCCAAUGGCAUUGCCCGGUAGCUAAGUGCGGAAGAGAUAACCGCUGAAAGCAUCUAAGCGGGAAACUUGCCUCGAGAUGAGUCUUCCCUGUCACUUUAAGUGACCUAAAGGAACAUUUAAGACUAAGACGUUGAUAGGCUGGGUGUGUAAGCGUAGCGAUACGUUGAGCUAACCAGUACUAAUGAACCGUGAGGCUUAACCU
This 2425-nucleotide ribosomal RNA is filed under the name Proteus mirabilis. Its description in RNAcentral is "bacterial LSU rRNA". It matches the Rfam family "Bacterial large subunit ribosomal RNA", at positions 520 to 2925 of the family's 2925-position model. RNAcentral also lists the same sequence under 1 other name. Lineage: Bacteria; Pseudomonadati; Pseudomonadota; Gammaproteobacteria; Enterobacterales; Morganellaceae. The record is from RNAcentral.